AUGGACCCAGUGCCUGGAACACUGGGUCUAGAGGAGCGAACACAGGAGAAUACGUUCAGGGGAGCAGCUUGUGAACUUGAUAUUUUCAUCCCCUGCCCGUCUGGCUGUAGCCCCAGGGGCACAUGGGAGGAAGAACCCCUCCUUAGGGUCUGUGUCUCUCAACAGGGGGAGCCUGGCUUGUCAGGGAGACCUGGAGCUGAGGGUCCGGAGGGACCUCCAGGACCAGUUGGUCGAAGGGGAGAGAAGGGAGAACCUGGAGAGCCUGGCAAACCUGGAGAGGUCAUGGUGAGUAAGGAUGCUGAGGCUGGGGGGGGGGACUCGAGGGUAGAGUAUUGCCCCAAGUCCCUUCCUCUGGCAUAUCCAGCUACCUCAUAAAUAGCAGGAUGUGCCCUCCCCCCACACCCCAGAAACCCAACAUUCCUUGGGAAUCCAUAUGUUCCAAAGGGCCCCAACUUCCUUAUCUCUUUGGUUUCAGGGACUUGAUGGUGCUGGAGUGAAAGGAGAGAAGGUAGGGGAAGACCCGGGGCCACUGGCAGUUUUGGAGGGUCUGAUUUCUUUAAUGUCCUGGAUAGGGUG
This 576-nucleotide long non-coding RNA is filed under the name Monodelphis domestica (gray short-tailed opossum). RNAcentral describes it as "lncRNA (ENSMODG00000037186.1)". Lineage: Eukaryota; Metazoa; Chordata; Mammalia; Didelphimorphia; Didelphidae. The record is from RNAcentral.